Molecule: long non-coding RNA, 1874 nt
Filed under: Zostera marina
Lineage: Eukaryota; Viridiplantae; Streptophyta; Magnoliopsida; Alismatales; Zosteraceae
Description: long non-coding RNA (ZMAR_LNC002187)
Source: RNAcentral
AAUCUUUUUCAACACCCCUCACUGUCUGAUAUGAACUUGGCGGUGGCUUUGCAAUACAAUGGCAAUACACUACGGAUGGUUCAGUAGUGCCAGGUGAUGCUUUCUUUUAUGGUCGUUCUACCAGUUUAUUUCUGCAUUUUUCCAAUCUGUUAAUUAGCAUCGUUAAAUGUAUAGCGUAUUGAAUAUUUUUGUCUUUUGAUGUUUCAAUAAAAGGACUUAUUUAUUCAUGGUUUGUUAUUUCCUUGAGCAGAUCUAAUUCUUUUGAAGAUGUUUUAUGAAAAUAUUAAAAAAUACAUGGAUGAUAAAGAAUCAAUUACGUUUAUAACCACUUCGAUAUUUUACUCGAGCAUACAACCACUCCACCAUUUGGUAUUGCCCGUUGCAAUCACAUCUGCCAAAUCCUGCAAAAAUCCUAGAUUGACUGAAGGUGGAAUACAAGACAAGCAACAUCUGUGAGAGUUUAAACAACGUGUUACAGAAAAUGCGACAAACUCCACAGGUAUUCUAUGAUAUUCCGAUCUCAAUAAUAUCAUCUGAAUGAAUAUAUUUUUUGGUAAUUUUUUUUAAUAAUAUCAUCUCAUUUAUAAUAAUUUUUUUCAUAUGCAGUUGACAUGUGCCUUAUCUAUCAUUGGCUAUUGUAUGACGAUAGUCAAUAAUAGAUCUAAGAGUCACAUUUACAACACAUACAUUGUAUGGCAAAGCUAGGUUACACAUUAGUCGAUAUCUGAUCCAAGUGGGCCAUUUUAAGGUAGUCCAAACCAGUACUGGUUUUGGUUGCAAGGUGACCGGGAGCGCAUAACUAGACUUGUCGACAUCUUAAUGCAGACAUACAAUUGUGGUGAAUGGCAGGUAACCGGGCUUCCUUGCAGACAUGCAACUUGGGGCUUGUUGCAUUCUACGGUCAUCACAAAUGUUUCUUGAUACUAUCGUGUUGAGUGUCUUAUGGAUACCUAUAAGUAUGGUAUCGAGCCAAUUAGAGACAUGAGAUUUUGGCCCCUUGUAUCUGAUAUGAUUGAUGUCCUACCUCCAAAUUAUGGUCGUAGAGCAGGUCAACCUAGGGUAAGAAGAAUGCGAACAGCAAGGGAGCCACUACUUAGAAGGCAAUCUACACCUAGGUGUUUCACAUGUGAUGUAUCUGGUCACAACCGAGCCUCAUGCGCUCAUUUGUAAGUCUUACAUUACAAGAAAAUAGGAAAACAGCCACGGCUAAGUUCACUGACUAAUUAGUAAAAUCCGUGGCUAUUUAGCCACGGGAAUUAACCACGGGAGUGGCCGUGGUUGUAGAUCUGGUGGCUACUGCUUUUUAGCCUGGAAUUGAUUUUCCGUGGCUAAAUAUUAGCCACGGUCAUUUGAUUUAACCACGGAUUGUGCCGUGGCUGUUUUUGGUAAUCGAUAAUCGGUAAAUUUUUUUAAAAAUUAACCACGGCAUAAAUCAGUGGUUAUUUAUUUUUGGUCGUGGUUAAUUUUUUGAAACAGAAAAAAGUGAAGGGCCACGGUCAAAAUCAGUUGCUAAUUUUUCGACCGUGACUAAUUAUUUUUUAGUUUAUUAGAAAAAAAUUAAAUGGUGAAAGAUGCCUAUAUUAUAAGGUCUUACACAUUCAUAUAUAUAACCUGAAAUUAAAAUUCAUUCACAUAUUCAUACAAUCUGAAAUUAACAUUCAUUUACAAAUAUCAAUUCAUAUAUCAAUUCAUACAUUAAUCCAUAAGUCUAAACUUAAAAAACAACAUCCAAAUACAUAUGAUCAUAUAACAUCCAAAAAAUAUUAAAAAACAUAUAAAUACCAAAAGACUGAUUGCCUCUGCAAUUGAAUGCUCACAGUUCACUUUGCAGUAAGAUAUUAUAAGAUCUUGAGCACUGGUGAUGUAAAUAUUGU